UACGUAGGGUGCGAGCGUUGUCCGGAAUUAUUGGGCGUAAAGAGCUCGUAGGCGGCCUGUCGCGUCGGAUGUGAAAGCCCGGGGCUUAACCCCGGGUCUGCAUUCGAUACGGGCAGGCUAGAGUGUGGUAGGGGAGAUCGGAAUUCCUGGUGUAGCGGUGAAAUGCGCAGAUAUCAGGAGGAACACCGGUGGCGAAGGCGGAUCUCUGGGCCGUUACUGACGCUGAGGAGCGAAAGCGUGGGGAGCGAACAGG
RNAcentral lists this ribosomal RNA (253 nucleotides) under uncultured bacterium. RNAcentral describes it as "partial 16S ribosomal RNA". It matches the Rfam family "Bacterial small subunit ribosomal RNA", at positions 524 to 776 of the family's 1533-position model. The record is from RNAcentral.